This 442-nucleotide ribosomal RNA is filed under the name uncultured bacterium. RNAcentral describes it as "partial 16S ribosomal RNA". It matches the Rfam family "Bacterial small subunit ribosomal RNA", at positions 338 to 795 of the family's 1533-position model. The record is from RNAcentral.
CCUACGGGUGGCAGCAGUGGGGAAUAUUGGGCAAUGGACGCAAGUCUGACCCAGCAACGCCGCGUGAGGGAAGAAGGCUUUCGGGUUGUAAACUUCUUUUAAGGGGGAAGAGCAGUAGCCGGUACCCCUUGAAUAAGCCACGGCUAACUACGUGCAAGCAGCCGCGGAAAUCGGUAGGUGGCAUGCGUUGUCCGGAUUUACUGGGUGUAAGGGGCGAGCAGCCGGAGGGACAAGUCAGUUGUGAAAGCCACGGGCUCAACCCGUGAACUGCAUUUGAAACUGGGUCCCUGGAGUGUCGGAGAGGUAAGCGGAAUGCCUAGUGUAGCGGUGAAAUGCGUAGAUAUAAGGAGGAACACCAGUGGCGAAGGCGGCUUACUGGACGAUGACUGACGGUGAGGCGCGAAAGCGUGGGGAGCAAACAGGAUUAGAUACCCCAGUAGUC